RNAcentral lists this ribosomal RNA (253 nucleotides) under uncultured bacterium. RNAcentral's name for it is "partial 16S ribosomal RNA". It matches the Rfam family "Bacterial small subunit ribosomal RNA", at positions 524 to 776 of the family's 1533-position model. The record is from RNAcentral.
UACGGGGGGGGCAAGCGUUGUUCGGAAUUACUGGGCGUAAGGGGCUCGUAGGCGGCCAACUAAGUCAGACGUGAAAUCCCUCGGCUUAACCGGGGAACUGCGUCUGAUACUGGUUGGCUUGAGUGUGGGAGAGGGAUGCGGAAUUCCAGGUGUAGCGGUGAAAUGCGUAGAUAUCUGGAGGAACACCGGUGGCGAAGGCGGCAUCCUGGACCAUUACUGACGCUGAGGAGCGAAAGCCAGGGGAGCAAACGGG